Molecule: non-coding RNA, 287 nt
Organism: Meleagris gallopavo (turkey)
Lineage: Eukaryota; Metazoa; Chordata; Aves; Galliformes; Phasianidae
Source: RefSeq, a predicted model, not a curated record
GGAAGAUCCACGACUGAAAUUUCCAGUGCAUUUGAGAUCAAAAGCUUCUUUAAAUCCUAAUGAUUUGGGCCCUCUUCCUCCUGGUUGGGAGGAAAGAAUACAUUUGGAUGGAAGAACGUUUUAUAUAGAUCAUAAUAAUAAAAUUACCCAGUGGGAAGAUCCCAGACUGCAGAAUCCAGCAAUUACUGGUCCAGUAAGUACCUGGACUUGUGCAAGACCUUUGACACGGUCAUGGACUAUUCUGUGGAUAAAGAAUUGGUUGGAUGGCUGUAGCCAGAGGGUUGUUG